CCACAGAAUGUACAUUCUUCUCAGCACCGCAUCAUACUUAUUCUAAAAUUGACCACAUAAUUGAAAGUAAAACACUUCUUAGCAAAUACCAUCUGUAUUAUGAAGACUAUGACUCUUAUCAUUGAUUCUUAUUUUCUCAUGGGACCUAUCAAGUUCAAGUGACUUAAUAUUAUACAAUUUAACUUAUUUUUCUGCAGCAGCACACCCAGAUGGGGAAGAACCGAUGGUGCUCUUGACAUGAUCAGAACUCUCCAGGGGCACUGUCUUUAUUUUCUUGUGUAUGUGCAUGCACCCACGAGAGCUUUAAAAAUUUAUGGGGCCCCUGGGCUGCUGGCUAAGCAGCUCUCCCGCCUCAGACCCAGACAAUGUUGUAGCUGUAUACAUUUGCUGGGAAGAGGAGUCAGUCUAGCUGGAAGGCUAUUGUUGUUAUGCAAAUUGCAAAAGGAGACUUUUAAGCUACAAUGUUGUAAAAGGGCUGAGAGUAGGUGGCAGCUUAAGGCUCCAGCAUGAGCUUAAUGGUUGUAAUGAAUCCAAUGGAAAAGGACCAAGUUUGCUGCUUCAAGACCCACGUUCCACCUUCAGCUGUAAACUAUGCUGCAUGUACUGCACUUGCCUGAAAUAAAGCACUGUCUUUUCUUCUUCUAAAGAGUCCUUUAGAUGUGUUUUAUUUUACCAGAAGCCCAUUUCCUCAACUUAAAGUAAUGAUUAACAACAACUAAGGCUUUUUCUCAGUGUGGUUGGAUUUGGUCGUUUUGGGAUUCAGGGUGGAUGUAGAAAAAAGUUUGUGUGUUGUGCAUAAUCUGGGUCACGUAGAGUGUGUGGAUGCCUUCCUCAGUAUUCACAGGGAGCAGUUACACAGGAUCUGAGGGAGAAACAGCUCUGGUGACCACUCAAUCCCCUCUCCUCCUUUUCCAGGGACACCUUACGUCUUUCUCUCUGAAAGUGAACUGAAAUCUAAUACCCUGUAACCUCCACCCUUUGUUUCUAUAGGAUUUCCAUCCUCCCAGGACACACAGAACAAGGUUAAUCCUUCUUGCAAAUAUCAGGUCUUCAAGUAUUUACAGACAGCUAAGUUGUAAGCUGUCUUCCCUUUCAGGUGGGGAUCCCCCCACUCCUCUUAGGAAGUGGUUUCCAGUUUCAUUCUCUUGUCUUUGGAGAACUUAAGCCAGAGAGAGGCUGCAACCACAACAUUGAGGGCCUGGAACCCUGAACCAUGUCUCAGGAGGAGUAAAUAAAGAUUUGUUGCAUGGAACUCUCACCUCCUUCAUCCUAGAUAAUAUACCUCUGGUAAUGCAGUCUCUUCUCCCAGUAGUUCUUUUGGCAGCCACGGCACCUCGUUAAUGUGUGUGUUAAAAUGCCCCCGUCUUCAUCUGUGGUGCUGUUGAUCAAUCUCUUUCUCACUCUGCAUUUCUGUAGUUUUGAAGCUAGGUAUGGGGGUUUUUGAAUAAUCCUUAUUACUGGAUGUUGCCUCUCUGCUCCACGGUACCUCCUGUCAUUGUCUGGUCAAGCCGGGCUUCCCGAUUUAUGGGAGAACUUGGGCUCAGAGGGAGGCUAUGAGGGGCCCCAAGAGAAUGCCAGCCAAGGCCCUGCCUGGUGUAACCCUGCCAGCACCUGGCCUUUGGAUAGAACUGGGAGGCUGGGAAGGAGGUGAUGAGAGGCACAAACUCUGGUUCUCUGCCUUUACCUCUCAGUCCAGAAGUGGCCACUGGAUUCCUUUGUAUGUUUUCUCUCUUCUAGUAAAUAAAGAGGAGACUUCUCCUCUCACUGGCGUGCAUAGACUACCUGAGGGUCAGGCUUGGCUUGCCUGGUCUUCUAAUCAUUGACUUUCUUGUUAGUUGGAUUCUCCUAACGUUUUCUUCAGUUAAAAAUAUUCCACAUUUCCUUUCCCUCAGUCUUGUUGCAAAUUGCCAGUAAUUUUGGAGUCCUGUUAAAUGACUUGUACUUUUUAUAAAUUUGCUUCCCCCCCGCAAUCUGGAGAAAGAGAAGAGGAAUUACUUGAAUACCUACUAUGUCUCAGGGCUAGGCUGAAGCUUCUCAUUCAUCAUCCUGUCUGCCCUUUAACAGUCCUGCAAUGGUGGUGGUGCAAAUUUCCAUUUUAGAGUUGGAGACAGUUGAGAUUGUGAGCUUCACAUACCCAGGGUCACGCAGCUGAAGAAUAGGGGCGUGAAGAUAAGGACCCAGGGCACUGUCCCACCUGUCCUACCAGGGUGAGGAGCUUUGUGCUAAACUCUGGCCCAUCAGAAACCACCUGGGGGACAUAAGUACCCAUGGGUACAACCAUUUCAAAGAUCCUUACUCAGACCAGAACAUUUAGCACAAAACCAAAACCCACGGAAAUAUCAAAAGGAAUAAAAAUAUCAUGUUAAUGUUAAGAAAAAUUAUUUAAAAUUUGGAAAUAAGGCCUAAAGGUAACAACAGCAUGUAGUUCUUCAAAUGUUAGCCAGAGUCAUUGAUUAACAAGUCUACCCAGGGGUUAUUUGUUUAGGGUGUCAUAGCUGGCUUUGUUUUUAGCUUUUAAAAAAUAACAGCUUUGCAGCCAGGCGUGGUGGCCCACACCUAUAA
Molecule: long non-coding RNA, 2562 nt
Organism: Sapajus apella (tufted capuchin)
Lineage: Eukaryota; Metazoa; Chordata; Mammalia; Primates; Cebidae
Exons: 3
Source: RefSeq, a predicted model, not a curated record